UGGGAAGCAGACGGAAAUUGAAGAUGCC
RNAcentral lists this non-coding RNA (28 nucleotides) under Mus musculus (house mouse). Lineage: Eukaryota; Metazoa; Chordata; Mammalia; Rodentia; Muridae. The record is from RNAcentral.